AGAUAUGUUGCAAGUCCCAAGAAUGCCUGAAGUUGUUGGCUGAAGUUUUGUAAACCACAAAAAGAACACUGUCAUUGGAAAGUAUAUUAACAGGUCUUGAUAUUUUUAUGUCUUAUUUUAUGUAUCUCAUGCUUUGAAAACUAUAUGGUUGCUGUGAUCAAUGGCCGAUUCUACUUUUGAGUUCAAAAACUUAAAAAAGCUAGCAAAAAAUGCAAA
This is a non-coding RNA of Paramuricea clavata, 216 nucleotides long. Lineage: Eukaryota; Metazoa; Cnidaria; Anthozoa; Malacalcyonacea; Plexauridae. The record is from the annotation of a GenBank genome assembly.